GUAUAAAGGGCGCAGGACAGGCUGGAUUUACACAUGCUUAACCUGCCCAUAAAACUGGUGUAACUUGUGCAAACCGUGACUAAUACCUUCUCACUUUUUAAGCUACAUGGAUCAGAACUGAUGGGCCUGUUCAUGUGCCUGUUGGGAUUGGACCCUCUCCUAAUUAUCUAGUUGGUGAGGUAACGGCUCAAAGAUGGACAAUGCGUAGCCAACCUGAGAUGUUGAUGGCUCGAGAGGGUACUGAAACAAGAUCGAAACGCCGACGAAAGUCUUGAAUAGGAAAUCUUCACUAAUGGACAAAACUCUGACGGACGCCUGCCGGGUGACUGAUGGGGGCUUUCCGGUCCGAAAACUCUGUUGAUAUUGAAUAUUCUAUGCUGUUUGAAUAAUCUGUUGCCUUGACCGUGCCUAUACCUGUUUCCUGUGCUAACUUGUUGUCCGCUCCCGCUUCAAUACAUAAGUGGAACCGGAUAUCCAGAAUUAUUGGCCUGAAAGGCCGCGCGAGUGGUUUCUUUCAUCUGAUGUGAAAGCCCACUCACUGCCCGCUUUCCAGUCAUUGAAACCUGUCGAGACUUGAGUGUUAAUGAGGAAAGUGGAAUUCCAUGUAUAGGGGUGAUGUGCAUAGAGAUAUCUACCAACUCCUCUGUCAAAGACUACUUUCUGUCCUGCGACUGACUGUGACGAGCGAUAUCAUGUCAAUCAAACGCGAUUAUAUACUCAGCCACUCAACCCCGUAAUCAAUGAGUGCUAAAUGUGAGAGGGUUUCGCCCCUUUAGGCUGAGAUUAACACAUUAGCCACUCCGCCGGCGUUUUUCCA
RNAcentral lists this ribosomal RNA (817 nucleotides) under Bacillus sp. TM-C1. Its description in RNAcentral is "partial 16S ribosomal RNA". It matches the Rfam family "Bacterial small subunit ribosomal RNA", at positions 84 to 873 of the family's 1533-position model. The record is from RNAcentral. Lineage: Bacteria; Bacillati; Bacillota; Bacilli; Caryophanales; Bacillaceae.